This 776-nucleotide unclassified non-coding RNA is filed under the name Arabidopsis thaliana (thale cress). Its description in RNAcentral is "3' external transcribed spacer". The record is from RNAcentral. Lineage: Eukaryota; Viridiplantae; Streptophyta; Magnoliopsida; Brassicales; Brassicaceae.
CCCUCCCUAAAUCACUCCAAAAAAAAACAAUCCCCAAUUCUACACAAGUGUUUCUACACUAACAAAGCAACAGCUCCUUAACGAAUUCCCAACUUUACAUGAGCUCGUCUCUCGAGGUUAAAUGUUAUUACUUGCAAGAUUCGGACCUCGCCAAGUGUUUUGAAAACCCGCAACGCCGCAAAGGUGGAUAGUGAGAAUAAUAAGUGAAGAGACGAGACUUGUCCAAAACGCCCACCACGAAGGUGCAUAGUGAGAAGAGUAAGUCAAGAGAUAGACUUGUCCAAAAAGAAACGGAAGAGAAAGCUUGGGGAGACGCUCACGAAGGUGCAUAGUGAGAAGAGUAAGUCAAGAGAUGACUUGUUCAAAAAGAAACAGAAGAGAAUGCUUGGGGUUACACUCACGAAGGUGCAUAGUGAGAAAAGAGUAAGUCAAGAGACAGACUUGUUCAAAAAGAAACAAAAGAGAAUGCUUGGGGAGAUAGAAGUGUGAGAUAGUUCUCAAGCUAAGAAAGUUGUAAAAGCUAAGAACUAGGAGUGGUCGAGGAUUUGUCGACCAGGAGUUGAAAUCGUCGACCGGACCGAGAAUUGGGCCGACCAGACGGCGGAAUGCCUCGACCAGGACGAUGAAUGGGCGAUGAAAAUCUAUCGGGUUAGAGGAAUGGUCGACCAGAAGUUGGAAUCGUCGACGGUCCGAGAAUUCGUCGACCAGACGAGGAGUGGUCGAGGAUUUGUCGACCAGGAGUUGAAAUCGUCGACCGGGUCCGAGAAUUCGUCGAC